RNAcentral lists this non-coding RNA (765 nucleotides) under Schizodactylus jimo. RNAcentral describes it as "12S ribosomal RNA". The stretch from base 351 to 758 matches the Rfam family "Microsporidia small subunit ribosomal RNA", at positions 751 to 1303 of the family's 1311-position model. The record is from RNAcentral. Lineage: Eukaryota; Metazoa; Arthropoda; Insecta; Orthoptera; Schizodactylidae.
AAGUAAUUUUAUUUUGGUUAAGGUGUUUAUUAUUUGGUUGGGCUACAUGCUAUUAUUUGAUCUAAAGGAGAGUUGAGGUUGCAGUGGUUAGUAUUAAAUAUCAAGGGAACUUGGAAUUAGCAAUCUACGAAGUAUUGGUUAAAGUCGUGCCAGCUGCCGCGGUUAUACGGGGAAUGCAAGUGAACAUAGUUAGUAUGGAAUUAAUAGUUUAUUAAGGUUGAUAGAUGUUAUAUGAUGGUGAAAUAGAUAUUAUAAUGGUUGAAUCCUUUGGUUAGUUUAUAUGAGGUUCUGAAAUUUUUAAUGUAAACUAGGAUUAGAUACCCUAUUAUUGAAAAUGUAAAGUUAUGAUUGGAGUAGUAUUAGUUAAGGCCUUGAAACUCAAAAAAUUUGGCGGUGACUCAGUCUUUUCAGAGGAAUCUGUUGCGUGAUCGAUAGUACACGAUUGGUUUUACUUACUUUUGUAUUAUUACAGCUUGUAUACCGCCGUCAUAGGAAUAUUUUUUAAGAAUUAAUUUUCAGGAUAUUUGUAGAUAGGAUGUCAGGUCAAGGUGCAGUUAAUGGGUAAGGGCUAAUGGAUUACAUUGGAGUUAUUCAUACGGAUAUGGAUUUUAAAGGUUCAUUGAAGGUGGAUUUGAUAGUAAAGUUUAUGAUAAAUCUAGGCUUGAUUGGGGCUCUGAGUCAUGCACACAUCGCCCGUCGCUCUCGUUAGUUAAAUGAGAUAAGUCGUAACAAAGUAGGGGUACUGGAAAGUGUACCUAGAAUGUA